GUUAUAUCUUAUAAACACAGUUGAUAUAUUGGUGAUUACUGUUUAAUGAUAAAGAUAACCAAAAGAUCCAAAUGUGUAGUGUUCACUGACUCCAUGCAUAUAAUUGGCCUGUGUUUUUUCUUUGGAUCAACAGUCAACUCAAACAAUUAUUUUUUUAUGCUUCAAAUCUUGUUCUGCAACUGCUAGAAGACAUGCAGCCAAAUGUUUAGUUUUGGUAGGACAGUGCCCCUCAUACUAGAACAUACAAGUGUGUAAUUUCCUCAACAAAAAAUUCCCAAAUUGUUGGAUCUUUGAGAUGAAUCAAUUGUAUGACCAUUAAUAUCCCUGACAUCAUUCCCUUUGAUUUCUGUUUAUGGGGGCUGCAUUAAAGAAACAAAGUGUACAAAAAAAAAAGAUAAUUAGGAUGGAUAGGAUUACCCAGGCUAUGAGUAGAGGAGACGUCUCCUCUGAUACUGUGACUAAUCUUCCUUCUUCGACAAUUACAUUAAUCAUAUGAAUGCCAGCCAAACACUGAUAGACCUAACUCUAAAAUUAGCAGCAAGAUUAGAAAAAAUCAUAAAACAUGAACAGUUCCUAAUAAUAUGGAAGCACAAAAAACAGGAUGCACCAGCUUUCCCGAGACUAUUUGCUUAUGUUAAGAUGCAUAAGAACUCGAUAACAGCAAGACCAAUAGUCAAAAAGAGGUUGGCACCUAUGUAUAACCUUGAAAAAACGUUAGCAAAUUGACAUAAUAAGAUAUCAGAUGAGACAGAAAGAACAACAUUAGUGAUACUAUCUGUGAUAGCAAAGCUGCAUACAGGGAAUUCAACAGAGAGGACAUACUCACAAUUUAUGACUUCGAAGCUCUCUAUCCAUUGCUAAAGCUGGUAUUAGUUUGCGUAGCAUUUUAUAAGUUUAUGAUGGAGAAUCUACUCCAGGUGCACAGCAUAACACAAUUACUGAUGGGUAUAGUCCACCUGAUAUGUUAUAGCUUAUAUUUUACAUUCAAAAGAAAAAUACACCAACAAAAAAUUGGGAUAUCAAUAGGAAGCUCGAUAACAGGCCUUCUGGCUGAAAUACUGUUAAGAUCCAUAGAAGCCCAAAAAAUGUCACCUUUCCAGCCCUCAUUGAAAUUUUAUAUGAAAUAUGUAGAUGAUAUACUAGUAGUUUAGAAAGACAUCAUGAAAAUAGAUAACUUAACUGAAGCCUUUGCAUUGGAUGGAUACGGGUAUAUUCCUAAAUAAGGACUAGCAAAGCACCUGGGCAGUACACUAUUUAGACCUAGACAUAAUAAUAUACAAUGGUCAACUCAAAACUAAAGUCUACAGAAAGGUGACGUACAACCAAUACCUCCAACCAAUACUACUAAUUAAUUCCAUUAUCCAGUAAAUUAUAAAAGAAUGGCUUUUAGAAGCUUCUACAAGAGGGCAUUAACAUACUAUGAAGAUGAAAGAAUUUAAAUCAAGAAUUAACAUACAUAGAAUAGAUAGGAUCCUUCCUACAAUAGAUAUGGAACAUGAUAAAAAGAGAAAUCUAUGCAACCAGCGACAUAAACAGGAGGAGGUAAUAGCACAGCAGAAUGAGACCUGCCCAACCCUUAUAAUAUGAACAAACUUAGCAUAAUAAAAGAAAAUUGUGGAAAAAAAAAAAAGGAAAAGUUUGCUGUACACAGGGCAUCAACACUUUUUUAUACCUUAAAGAACAAUAAAGACUCCUUGAAACAAUAGAAGAGUGGUGUAUAUAAAAUCCUGGUUGAAAAUGCAUGAACACACUCCAGGAAACAGCAUAUAUAGAGGAGUGACAAGAAGAACGUUGGCCUAAAGGGUGGAAGAGCAUAAAAGAGACAUAGCCCAAGCAAGACUGUUGAUGACCUUAGCCAUAGAAGCCUAUAAAAAAUAAAAUGGGAUGAGGUGCAAAUCAUAAAACCACUGAAUGCUCUGGCUCAAGUUUUAACUGCAGAAUCCAUAGAUAAAGUAGUAUGAAUCUAUAGUAUAUCCCUAGAUAAACAUUUGAAUCUUUAUUAAAAAGAUGAAAAACAGAAAGCAUAUUGAAUUAAAAACUGACAUUGGAACUCCCCUCCCAUGGAAAUUUGUAACUGAACAAGAAAGUCUGAGACUGCUAAAUAUUAAUUAAUGCAUUAAAACUGUUUUUUGUUUUUUUCAUAUAGUCUUAAGUACUUAUUAGCAC
Molecule: long non-coding RNA, 2166 nt
Filed under: Androctonus crassicauda
Lineage: Eukaryota; Metazoa; Arthropoda; Arachnida; Scorpiones; Buthidae
Source: RNAcentral